GCCAGACUCCUACGGGAGGCAGCAGUGAGGAAUAUUGGUCAAUGGUCGGGAGACUGAACCAGCCAAGCCGCGUGAGGGAUGAAGGUACAGAGUAUCGUAAACCUCUUUUGUCAGGGAACAAAGGCGGGGACGCGUCCCCGGAUGAGUGUACCUGAAGAAAAAGCAUCGGCUAACUCCGUGCCAGCAGCCGCGGUAAUACGGAGGAUGCGAGCGUUAUCCGGAUUUAUUGGGUUUAAAGGGUGCGUAGGCGGACGCUUAAGUCAGCGGUAAAAUUGCGGGGCUCAACCUCGUCGAGCCGUUGAAACUGGGUGCCUUGAGUGGGCGAGAAGUACGCGGAAUGCGUGGUGUAGCGGUGAAAUGCAUAGAUAUCACGCAGAACCCCGAUUGCGAAGGCAGCAUGCCGGCUUCCGACUGACGCUGAAGCACGAAAGCGUGGGGAUCGAACAGGAUUAGAUACCCUCGUA
This 464-nucleotide ribosomal RNA is filed under the name uncultured bacterium. RNAcentral describes it as "bacterial SSU rRNA". It matches the Rfam family "Bacterial small subunit ribosomal RNA", at positions 330 to 792 of the family's 1533-position model. The record is from RNAcentral.